AGCUGGUACAAUGGUAGUGGGUUAUCAGAACUUAUUAACAUUAGUGUUUCAUGAAAGUUUUUGUACCACCUCCCACUGCUAAAUUUGACUGGCUUAUU
Aotus nancymaae (Ma's night monkey) is the source of this 98-nucleotide unclassified non-coding RNA. It matches the Rfam family "Y RNA". Rfam says of the family: Y RNAs are components of the Ro ribonucleoprotein particle (Ro RNP), in association with Ro60 and La proteins. The Y RNAs and Ro60 and La proteins are well conserved, but the function of the Ro RNP is not known. The record is from Ensembl. Lineage: Eukaryota; Metazoa; Chordata; Mammalia; Primates; Aotidae.